UCCGUAGGUGGAUAAUUAAGUCAGAGGUGAAAUCCUGCAGCUCAACUGUAGAAUUGCCUUUGAUACUGGUUAUCUUGAGUCAUUAUGAAGUGGUUAGAAUGUGUAGUGUAGCGGUGAAAUGCAUAGAUAUUACACAGAAUACCGAUUGCGAAGGCAGAUCACUAAUAAUGUACUGACACUGAGGGACGAAAGCGUGGGGAGCGAGCAGGAUUAGAUACCCUGGUAGUCC
RNAcentral lists this ribosomal RNA (229 nucleotides) under uncultured bacterium. RNAcentral's name for it is "partial 16S ribosomal RNA". It matches the Rfam family "Bacterial small subunit ribosomal RNA", at positions 568 to 796 of the family's 1533-position model. The record is from RNAcentral.